RNAcentral lists this transfer RNA (73 nucleotides) under Alosa alosa (allis shad). RNAcentral's name for it is "tRNA-OTHER". The record is from RNAcentral. Lineage: Eukaryota; Metazoa; Chordata; Actinopteri; Clupeiformes; Clupeidae.
CCAGCUGUGGCGCAACUGGCUGGAGCACCGGCACCGUAUGCCGGCGACCCGGGUUCGAUUCCCGCCCCGUGGU